This 497-nucleotide ribosomal RNA is filed under the name uncultured bacterium. Its description in RNAcentral is "partial 16S ribosomal RNA". It matches the Rfam family "Bacterial small subunit ribosomal RNA", at positions 28 to 507 of the family's 1533-position model. The record is from RNAcentral.
GAUGAACGCUGGCGGCGUGCCUAAUACAUGCAAGUCGAGCGAACGGACGAGAAGCUUGCUUCUUUGUUGUUAGCGGCGGACGGGUGAGUAACACGUGGAUAACCUACCUAUAAGACUGGGAUAACUUCGGGAAACCGGAGCUAAUACCGGAUAAUAUUUUGAACCGCAUGGUUCAUAAGUGAAAGACGGUCUUGCUGUCUCUUAUAGAUGGAUCUGGGCUGCAUUAGCUAGUUGGUACGGUAACGGCUUACCAAGGGAACGAUGCAUAGCCGACGUGAGAGGGUGAUCGCCGACACGGGAGCUGAGACGCGGACCAGACUCCUGAGGGAGGCAGCAGUAGGGAAUCUUCCGCAGUAGGGGGAAACCUGACGGAGCGACGCGGAGUGAGAGAUGAAGGUCUUCGGUUCGUGAAACUCUGUUAUGAGGGAAGAACAGAUGUGUAAGUAACUGUGGAGAGCGUGACGGUACCUGGUCAGGAAGCCACGGCUAACUACGUG